Molecule: non-coding RNA, 73 nt
Organism: Hypoxylon fuscum
Lineage: Eukaryota; Fungi; Ascomycota; Sordariomycetes; Xylariales; Hypoxylaceae
Source: the annotation of a GenBank genome assembly
AGCUUCAUGGUGUAGUGGAAGCACGCCGGGGCUACAAACCCGGAGGUCCUUUGUUCAAAACGAAGUGAAGUUA